Molecule: transfer RNA, 62 nt
Filed under: Tetranychus malaysiensis
Lineage: Eukaryota; Metazoa; Arthropoda; Arachnida; Trombidiformes; Tetranychidae
Description: tRNA-Leu
Source: RNAcentral
UUCAAAAAAGCAAAUUGCGUAAAAUUUAAAAUUUUAUAUUAUGAAUAAACUCAUUUUUGAAA